AUACGUAGGUGGCAAGCGUUAUCCGGAUUUAUUGGGCGUAAAGAGAGUGCAGGCGGUUUGUUAAGUCUGAUGUGAAAGCCUUCGGCUCAACCGAAGAAGUGCAUUGGAGACUGAUAAACUUGAGUGCAGAAAAGGACAGUGGAACUCCAUGUGUAGCGGUGAAAUGCGUAGAUAUAUGGAAGAACACCAGUGGCGAAGGCGACUGUCUGGUCUGUAACUGACGCUGAGACUCGAAAGCAUGGGUAGCGAACAGGAUUAGAUACCCUGGUAGUCCAUGCCGUAAACGAUGAAUGCUAAGUGUUGGAGGGUUUCCGCCCUUCAGUGCUGCAGCUAACGCAUUAAGCAUUCCGCCUGGGGAGUACGACCGCAAGGUUGAA
RNAcentral lists this ribosomal RNA (377 nucleotides) under uncultured bacterium. Its description in RNAcentral is "bacterial SSU rRNA". It matches the Rfam family "Bacterial small subunit ribosomal RNA", at positions 523 to 898 of the family's 1533-position model. The record is from RNAcentral.